RNAcentral lists this ribosomal RNA (253 nucleotides) under uncultured bacterium. RNAcentral describes it as "partial 16S ribosomal RNA". It matches the Rfam family "Bacterial small subunit ribosomal RNA", at positions 524 to 776 of the family's 1533-position model. The record is from RNAcentral.
UACGGGGGGGGCGAGCGUUGUUCGGAAUUACUGGGCGUAAAGGGCUCGUAGGCGGCCAACUAAGUCCGACGUGAAAUCCCCAAGCUUAACUUGGGAACUGCGUCGGAUACUGGAUGGCUUGAAUUCGGGAGAGGGAUGCAGAAUUCCAGGUGUAGCGGUGAAAUGCGUAGAUAUCUGGAGGAAUACCGGUGGCGAAGGCGGCAUCCUGGACCGACAUUGACGCUGAGGAGCGAAAGCUAGGGGAGCAAACGGG